This 253-nucleotide ribosomal RNA is filed under the name uncultured bacterium. Its description in RNAcentral is "partial 16S ribosomal RNA". It matches the Rfam family "Bacterial small subunit ribosomal RNA", at positions 524 to 776 of the family's 1533-position model. The record is from RNAcentral.
UACGUAGGGGGCAAGCGUUGUUCGGAAUUACUGGGCGUAAAGGGCGCGUAGGCGGCCCGGCAAGUCGGGAGUGAAAGCCCGGGGCUCAACCCCGGAGGGUCUUCCGAAACUGCCGAGCUAGAGUGCGGAAGAGGCAACCGGAAUUCCCAGUGUAGCGGUGAAAUGCGUAGAUAUUGGGAGGAACACCAGUGGCGAAGGCGGCUCACUGGACCGGAACUGACGCUGAGGCGCGAAAGCGUGGGGAGCAAACAGG